RNAcentral lists this long non-coding RNA (2616 nucleotides) under Capra hircus (goat). RNAcentral describes it as "lncRNA (ENSCHIG00000001359.1)". Lineage: Eukaryota; Metazoa; Chordata; Mammalia; Artiodactyla; Bovidae. The record is from RNAcentral.
UUGUUACUUCCCCUAACCCACGCAGAGAGCACAUAAAGAUUUUAUUUCUUUGAAGGAAAAAGGAGAAAGAAAUAUGUUUGCUCUAACAUGACGCAGAAAUCAAUGAUGAUGCUGUCUUAACUUGCUGAGCUUGUAGAAAGAGAAACGCUAGUAAAAUUUAAUACUCUGAAUCAUCAAAGGAUAAAUGGAAGAAGACAUCUUUAUAAAUAGGUGCCAACAGGAGACAGAAAAGGCAAGAAAAAAUGAAGCAGAGAAAAGGAAGUUUCAGAGGCGAGCAGCAGGCACAGUGUCCGAAGGGACAGAGAUCAACCGCGGCGGUGUGGGAUAAAGCAACAACAUCGGCGGUAACAGAGAGGUCGCAGUUGACUUUCAGAAAGAUGGACAUGUCUGGAGCCCAUAAAGCUCAACAAAAUCCUGUUUGGCACUGCCUUCAACCCUGCAGGAUGACCUUCCUCAUGAAGCUAAAGAGAGGAGCCAAGGCUUAAGCAUUUCUUCCUUGAGAGAACCAGAGGAAACCUGAGAAGCUAUACUCAUGGAGCAUCUCCUAACUGGUGUUAUCUUGUAGACUUCAUUGAGAGUUAUAUACCCUUUAAGCUAAAUGUGAUAACGUAUAAUUCAUAUAAAAUCUAUGUGUUUCAGUCUCAUCCUCUCACAUUUUCAAAUCCAGUCUUCUAUAGCCCUAAUUCAUACUCCAGAUGUCUACCUUUCUACUAUGUCAUCCACUGCAUUACUGCUGAGCUCCAGCUCACACAGACACACACACACACACACCAUAAACAAGAGAGAUUCAGAGUCGGCGUAUGAGAAACAUUUUAGUAUGACCUAAAGAAAACAUACGUGCAUAAAUAUGAAAUGAACAAACGUCUGGCAUACAAAAUGUAUUCCAGCAUAUAUGAUGUAUUUUGAUAAUUGCUAUUUUAUUUUCAAUGCUAAUUUUCAUAAACUGAUUAGUUCAUCAAAUAAGAGGUCUCAUCCUACAGUUCAAAUCCAUUUUGCCGUACAUUCAAUUUUCAGAUUGGACCCUGGAAUCCAUUAGUGUACAGUCAAUGAAAUUCUUUACAGAGUUAUCUCCUUUUCUGGCCUACCAUUUAACUUUGUUUUCUUUAUAAGAAUGUCGCAUGAAAUAAUUGUGCCAAGUAUUUUCUUUCUUUCUCAAUUAAUCUCUGAAUGUGAAAGGAAAAUAUAUAUCCUCACUUGCAAGUAAAAUUAAGAGUGACGGGCUUCUCUGAGAAAGAUAAGUGUAUAUAUGCAUGUACAUGAACACAGAUACAUAGAGAAGGAUGUAAUUACAGUAAAUAUAGAUUUUUCUUCUUCUUUACUUAGUUUCUCAAGAGGCAGGUUAAGUGGUCUGGUAUUCCCAUCUCUUUCAGAAUUUUCCACAGUUUAUUGUGAUCCACACAGUCAAAGGCUUUGGCAUAGUCAAUAAAGCAGAAAUAGACGUUUUUCUGGAACUCUCUUGCUUUUUCCAUGAUCCAGUGGAUGUUGGCAAUUUGAUCUCUGGUUCCUCUGCCUUUUCUAAAACCAGUUUGAACAUCAAGGAGUUCACGGUUCAUGUAUUACUGAAGCCUGGCUUGGAGAAUUUUGAGCAUUACUUUACUAGCGUGUGAGAUGAGUGCAAUUGUCUGGUAGUUUGAGCAUUCUUUUGCAUUGCCUUUCUCUGGGAUUGGAAUGAAAACUGACCUUUUCCAGUCCUGUGGCCACUGCUGAGUUUUCCCAAUUUGCUGGCAUAUUGAGUGCAGCACUUUCACAGCAUCAUCUUUCAGGAUUUGAAACAGCUCAAAUGGAAUUCCAUCACCUCUACUAGCUUUGUUCGUAGUGAUGCUUUCUAAGGCCCACUUGACUUCACAUUCCAAGAUGUCUGGCUCUAGAUUAGUGAUCACAUCAUCAUGAUUAUCUGGGUCGUGAAGAUCUUUUUUGUACAGUUCUUCCAUGUAUUCUUGCCACCUCUUCUUAAUAUCUUCUGCUUCUGUUAGGUCCAGACCAUUUCUGAUCUUUAUCGAGCCCAUCUUUGCAUGAAAUGUUCCCUUGGUAUCUCUAAUUUUCUUGAAGAGAUCUCUAGUCUUUCCCAUUCUGUUGUUUUCCUCUAUUUCUUUGCAUUGAUCCCUGAAGAAGGCUUUCUUAUCUCUUCUUGCUAUUCUUCGGAACUCUGCAUUCAGAUGCUUAUAUCUUUCCUUUUCUCCUUUGCUUUUCACCUCUCUUCUUUUCACGGCUAUUUGUAAGGCCUCCCCAAACAGACAUUUUGCUUUUUUGCAUUUCUUUUCCAUGGGGAUGGUCUUGAUCCCUGUCUCCUUUACAAUGUCACGAACCUCAUUCCAUAGUUCAUCAGGCACUCUAUCUGUCAGAUCUAAGCCCUUAAAUCUAUUUCUCACUUCCACUGUAUAAUCAUAAGGGAUUUGAUUUAGGUCAUACCUGAAUGGUCUAGCGGUCUUCCCUACUUUCUUCAAUUUGAGUCUGAAUUUGGUAAUAAGGAGUUCAUGAUCUGAGCCACAGUCAGCUCCUGGUCUUGUUUUUGUUGACUGUAUAGAGCUUCUCCAUCUUUGGCUGCAAAGAAUAUAAUCAAUCUGAUUUCAGUGUUGACCAUCUGGUGACGUCCAUGUGUAGAGUCUUCUCUUGUGU